UACGGGGGGGGCAAGCGUUGUUCGGAAUUACUGGGCGUAAAGGGCUCGUAGGCGGCCAACUAAGUCAGACGUGAAAUCCCUCGGCUUAACCGGGGAACUGCGUCUGAUACUGGAUGGCUUGAGGUUGGGAGAGGGAUGCGGAAUUCCAGGUGUAGCGGUGAAAUGCGCAGAUAUCGGGAGGAACACCUAUGGCGAAGGCAGCUCGCUGGGACGUUACUGACGCUGAGACGCGAAAGCGUGGGGAGCAAACAGG
This 253-nucleotide ribosomal RNA is filed under the name uncultured bacterium. RNAcentral describes it as "partial 16S ribosomal RNA". It matches the Rfam family "Bacterial small subunit ribosomal RNA", at positions 524 to 776 of the family's 1533-position model. The record is from RNAcentral.